UGUCUAAUGAUUUCUGUGCAAGUAUUCUUCAUGCAUCAUUAUCAGUUGUUCUGCAACCUCCUCAAUGCUGCCGUCCUCAAUCUCUGUGUUGAAAGAAAGCAGCAAGCUUUCAUGGAGCAAAUUCUCCAAAUCUUCAACAUAAAUUGGUCCUCUAGAUUGAGAGAACCAAGACAAGAUAUCGGUGGCGAGCCGGUGGGAUUUCUGGAGGGAAUCGCGGCCACCCCACUGGUUUUGGAUAGCCAUUUGCAGGCCAUUCCAUCGGGAAAAAAGCAAUGCGAUACCCUCUUGGAGAUGAGAGACAGCCUCUGGCUUUUGAACAGUAAGAUGGCUGCUUUUGCAGAUGGAUUCCAUAAUUUAACAACAAUCUGAGAGAGUUCUUUGGCCUUUGGUUCAGCUCUCCGUCCCCCCGAGAAAAUCCUCUUCCCCUCAGAGAGAGCGAGACAG
Molecule: unclassified non-coding RNA, 444 nt
Filed under: Hevea brasiliensis (rubber tree)
Lineage: Eukaryota; Viridiplantae; Streptophyta; Magnoliopsida; Malpighiales; Euphorbiaceae
Source: RNAcentral